This is an RNA transcript of Pipra filicauda (Wire-tailed manakin), 6907 nucleotides long. It is a transcript of the gene named fucosyltransferase 11, with no coding region annotated. The record is from RefSeq and is a predicted model, not a curated record. The transcript has 5 exons. Lineage: Eukaryota; Metazoa; Chordata; Aves; Passeriformes; Pipridae.
AGGAUUUACAGCCCCUUCAGCCGCAGGACAGUAGGGUUGGAAGGGACCUGCGAAUGGGUCGCCUCGUCCGGCCGCUGCAGCCAGGCUGCACGAACGCUGACAGACCCGUGUUAGGCGUCGCUGCCCCUACGAGCUGCCACUGUUCCUGGAGCGUCCGAGGUGACAGAGCGGGAAGGCGGCCCCGCUCCCGCCCGGCCCCACGCCCGGGCCCCUCCGCGCCCCGUGACGGCACCGCCGGGGCGGGGCCGGCGCCGCUUCCUGGGGCGGCGGGACCGGCCCGGGGAACGGGCAUGGGGGGCGCGGGGCCGCGGUGCGGGCCCGCGGGCCUGUGGGUGACGCUGGCCCUGGCCUGGGGCGCGGGGGCCGCGUUGGCCGCAGAGGGGCCGCCGGCGGGAGCGGCCGCGCCGGCGGAGCCGUGUGGGGCGGAGGGGUGGGCGCAGGACGCCGUCCCGCCGGGCGCGGCCUUCGUCGCCGCCGCGUCCUACCGCGGGCCCGGCAACAACGACACGCGGAGCAACAAGGCGCUGCCCAUCCUGCUGUGGUGGAGCGGGAGCCUCUUCCCGCACUUCCCCGGCGACACGGAGCGCAUCGACUGCCCGCGCGGGUCCUGCCUCGUCACCCGCAGCCGGCGGGUUGCCCGGCACCGCCGCACCAAGGCGCUCAUCUUCUACGGCACCGACUUCAGGGCGUACGAGGCGCCGCUGCCCCGCCUGCCCCACCAGACCUGGGCGCUCUUCCACGAGGAGUCCCCCAUGAACAACUACGUGCUCUCGCACCCGCCCGGCAUCCAGCUCUUCAACUACACGGCCACCUUCCGCCGCGAGUCCGACUACCCGCUGACGCUGCAGUGGCUGCCCGGCGCGGGGUACCUGCGGGGCCCGGCCGUGCCGCUGGCCGAGAAGGACGCCUGGCGGCGGAGGGGCUACGCGCCCGUGCUGUACAUGCAGUCCCACUGCGAUGUGCCCUCGGACAGGGACCGCUACGUGCGGGAGCUCAUGAAGUACAUCCAGGUUGACUCCUAUGGGAAAUGCCUGCAUAACCGUGAGCUUCCCAGUGAACGACUGAGAGACACUUCUACAGCCACAACAGAAGAUUCUGAGUUUAUGACUUUUAUCGCCAGGUACAAGUUUCAUCUGGCCUUGGAGAAUGCCAUAUGUGAGGACUACAUGACGGAGAAGCUGUGGCGUCCCAUGCACCUGGGGGCUGUCCCAGUGUACCGAGGCUCCCCAGCUGUGCGGGACUGGAUGCCAAACAACCUCUCCAUCAUUCUUAUAGAUGACUUUGACAGCCCCCAAGAGCUGGCAAAGUAUCUUGAUUUCCUGGACAAGAAUGGAGAGGAAUAUUUGAAGUAUCUAGAGUAUAAAAACGUUGGUGGAAUCAAAAACCAGUUCUUGCUAGAGAGCUUGCAGAGGCGGGAGUGGGGCGUGAAUGACAUGACUCUGCCCAAUUACCUGAAUGGCUUCGAGUGUUUCAUCUGUGACAGGGAGAACAUCCGGGUCAAAGAGGAGCAGGAACACAAAAAGUCUCGCGGGAAAAUUCCAGCUCCCAGACCUCGCAUAGCUCAGUUCAAGCACAUGGGAUGUCCCGUGCCAACCCCUGGGUUUGGAAGUGUGGAAGACCUCGCUGAAGGAGACAGUUGGAAAGAAAUGUGGCUGCAGGAUUAUUGGCAAAGCCUUGAUCAGGGUGAGGCCCUCACAGCUAUGAUUCAUCGCAAUGAGUCGCAUCAAGGAAGAUUUUGGGACUAUAUGCAUGAGAUUUUUCUCAAGAGGACAAGGCAACACUGACCCAUCUUUGUAAGAGCUUGAUUUGAAAAUUGCGUUGAAAGUUGAGACUGUGAAUUCUUACCUCGCUUCAAAUGUUUGCCUUGAAAUACAAAAAAAACCCUCUCACAGAGACAGUUUUUUCUCGUGCAAGAAGUGAGUUUCUGUUAUGAUUGGAUUCCAGCAGUGGAGACGUUAGCAACUGCUUUGCUUUGAUUUGAAUUUCAGCUCUCUGGUGUGAAGCUGCUUCUGACUUGCAGGUGUCAACAUGUGGGGCAAAAGAUCAGGGAUUUUUUUUUAAGUCUCCAGAAUAUUAAUUGUUUUUAUACGUAUUUUAUCAGUCACAUAUUCUCUUCAUUAAGAUGUACUUUUAGCUGCUAUUAACAAAUGGCUUUUCCAGUGAAGGAAUUACAAAAGACAAAUCUGUGGAGAGCAACUGUGCCUUACAAAAUUGCAGCAAUAAAGUCUCUUUGCCCCAAGAGUAACAGGAGGAAGUACCAAUAUAAGCAUGUGUAUCAUAGCAACUACUUAGUUCCUGAGGAGUGAUGUCCAAAGCCUCACUUUGCCGUCCUGCUCAGCAACAUGAGCAUGUUUCCAACUAAUAGCAUUGAAGAUGUGGUGGUACAAGCUGAAGAGUAGCUAGCAAACUAGUGCAGGUACUCGUAUUCAUAAAAACACACGAUUGAGACUAAUCAGGAAUUUUAGCAAAGAUGCCAAAUAUUGAGGAUGAUUAAGAGAUUGCUCCUGCAAACCCUUUGGUAGGCUCCUGCAAACUAGGGUGAGUGGCUUCACUGCUUAUCAUGCAUUUUGCCUGUUUACUGUGUGACUACAGGGAGGCUUUCAAAGCUGUCAGGAUAGCUUUAUUCAUUAGCAUUAAUGUUCUAAAAAUAGAUAUCUCAUUACUGCUCACAUGAAACACUGGUACAUUCUGUUGAUGCUGUGUCUCAGAAUUGAUUUGACAAGCUAGGAUAAGUUUAUGGCCUGUGAGAGGUGAGAGAGGAGAAAUAAAUGUCUGACAGAAGGUUAAAAAUCUAGCAGUCCAGUGCAUUGCAUUGGACAAGCUACAGCUCUCAUUCUUCUGCUAAAACUGUGAUACCUAGUGCUGCCUGUUUUUUCAGUAAGAAGCUGGGUAUUUUUUAUAAUGAAUUAGUAGUCUGUGUUUUCUGUCCUUUAGCAAGGACUUCAAUGUGUAGGAACCAUAUAACCUCACUGAAGUAUAGUGAUUUGAUUCCUAAUAUUGAUGAUUUCUAGAACUCAGAAAGAAUUGCCUUUUUUUAUUUCUGUCACUGUAGUAAUUUUUGAACUGAAAGAUCUCUGGGUCCCCUGUAAUGGUAAGUAGAAUGAGAACAAAGCAACAGUGUUGCUUUGCAAUAUGUUGCAAAGCAAUAUGUUUAGAGGGAAAGGAGAACGAGCUGCUUUCUCUGGAAAUGAUCUGCAGAAUGCAGCAGCUGGAGAAUCACAGCAGAAAUCCCCUCUUGCACCUUGGCAGAGGGUAGUUUUAACUGGUGUGGAAGAAAAGUAACUCCUAAAGGACUGGGAACAGGAUAAAUUGAAUUGAAACUCAGCCAUCAGGGACAUCUGUGUUUAAACAGGCUUUACUGUGUUAGACAAGCAGCCAUCUGCCUCUCUUCCUGACCUGCCAUACACACUCUUCAGCCAUUGUCCCAAGAGAGCCACUCCCUUAAUCAUUAGUUGUCAUCCCUUUGGUUAUAUUUAAUUAAGAUUAUUGAUGGAUCUCCAGGCACCUUCUGAGAAGUUGUAUUAAUUGGAAACAUACAGGGUGGCAGAUUCCAUCAUUCUGCCCAGAGACCUCUACUGACAGGCUGAUAUUAAUCAGAGACAAAAUCCUUUUAGUGAUAUGAGGAACUGAGCCAAAACCUGUCAGGCAUUAACAAAUUUUACCUUUCUUUGUGAUUCAUUGUCUCAGAGCUGGCAGUGAGAGAUAUAUGGCCCUGCAGAGGGAUUAGGAAGGGUGGAGAAGAAUGGAGCUGCAGGAUUUGUUCCAGAGCUCUGACACCACUGGCAUAUUAAUUUGUAUACUGUUAUAUACAUUCUGUCCUGCAGAAAAUACCCGUUUAAUGCACAAGUGUCUCAACUAGAGAUGUUUCUGGGGAUCUUGGAAUGGAUCAGAGCAGAUCAUGAUAGUUUCUGGCACCUCUGAGCAAAUAAGGAAGCAUCAGGUAAUUUGCUGGAAAUGGCUGGAUUUCGUAGAUCCUAGGAGUUAGGGAUUAGGGAUGGCAGUUCAAAACUACAGAGGUAGACACAACAAUGCAGGGCAGCUGCAGCUGAUCUGAUUGAGAGCUCAGGAUAAAGUAGGCUGGUGUUGGAAUUGGGGCGGGGCGUGACAUGUCAGAAAAGAAAUUGCAUCUGUCAUGGUGCUAGUGAAUGCAUUUGUGCUAAUAAGAACAUUAAGGGCUAAUAUUGUCCAAACCCGAUAACUCAGCAGACAGGAGUUAAGUCAAAACCACCUGGAAUCCCACCAAACGGGUUUGUUUCACUACUAAAGUGGAGGUGCUUUAAAUUUUAAGGCAUCUCCAAUUAAAUUGGGUUAAGAAGGUCAGGGUGAGACAGUCGAGAAUAAAUUGUGGUAAGUGAGGGCAUUAUGAAGUGAUAUGAGACUAACUGGUGCAUUCUGGGUAAAUUUGUGUGAAUAUACUGGAAUUUACCUGGAAGCUGGAUCCAGGCAGUUCAAAAAGACAUGGAUAUCAACUCUAUUCUUUUUUCCCCAAUACAACUGAUUUCUUAACCUCAUCUCCUAAUUGUUUGUUAGGCAGUAUCUGGAGGCUUUACAUAGCUAAACCAGAAUGUGAAGGGUAGAUACAUGAUGUAAUUUCUCACCUCUGAAAGAGGUAUUUAAGACAACAAUCUCAUUUUAAGGGUGUAUUUUAUUACAGCAUUGUUAGCACUGUAUUUAUUUGUGGCAUAGCAUUUGCUGUAGCAUCAUACCUGGCUCUUACUCACUUGUGAUAUAGAUUCUUUUCAAAUCUAAUACUCAUAGUUUAAUCUCUGUGGUUUAUUUUGAUUUUGACUAGCUGAAAUGCAGGCGAGGAUUCACCUUUAACUAUGCUGAUCUAAGAUAACAAGCUGUGCAUGCAGUUAGACUUUCACAUGGUUUUUAUAGUUGUAUGUUCAGGAUUCACAGUGAAACAUCUGUGUGGUUCACUGCUGAGAGAAUUUGGUUUCUGACUGUCCCUCUAAAGUCAGCACUUCUGUCCCUUCCAUUAGUGUCUCAGUGCUAUCAGCUAAACAAAAUACAGGCUAGAGAGAGACUUGGCUGUUGAGUAACACACCCCUUCUGUAGUUCCACAUUCUCCCUUAAAAUAAAUGUUCAGUAUUAAUCAUGUUCAAUAGUAAAAUUGUGUCUUGCUUCAGACAUCUUUGCAUGUUGUGCGCAGACACCAUCAGUACCUUAUUCUGCCUGCUCAGGAGUUUGUUAGGCUCCGAUCCCUGACUGAAUGCCAAAAAAAAAUGGAAAUUCUAGUGCAGACAGCAGUAACUUACAGGAAGCUAUUACAAUUCUCCUUGUGUAGCUUGCCUUUCUAUUUCUUAACCUUCCCUCCUCCCCCGCCUCAUUUUUCUUGGAAUUACUUAAACGAGAGAUCAGCUUUUGAAGGUGAAUGUCCCUGAAGGUGCUGCCACCAUUAGCUAAUGUAAUUUGGAAAAAGGGAGGCUGAUUUACAGGGAGUGCAGUAUGUCCUAGUAUUUGUGUCUUUCCUCGUUAUUGUUCUUGUGCAUGUCUGGUUAGGAAUUGCAGGUGGCAAAUGCAGCAGGGAAAAGUGGAUAUCAGUAAGGGUAACUAGAAGAGGCAAAAAGAAGAGUAGCUGAACCUCACAUGAACUGGAAUACUGAAAUGUACUUCAUGUUCCUGUCUUGGAUUUGCGAGAUCUCCAGUGUUUAGAGAUGCAGAAUGCAAGCCUCUAGCCUAACUUGAAGGUGUCAGCUUGUUUUUCUUCUUCUCUACUAGUAGUCCAGCUCAAAGGAUUGCUUGUUUCCUGUCUUUUCAGAGAAAAUGGAACUAGAGAAACACCCCGCUUACCAAAAUGUUUCAGAACUUCCAGAUAAAGUGUUUGAAUUUGAACCUUAGAUGGAAAUUUACUUCUAAAGAGCGCCAAAAGAAAUCUUUUUUUUACAUGAAAAUGUCUUCUCAUACUCUUUAUAUUGGACUUUAAGAAUAUACUGUUUUAAAAAUAACAAAAAUAAUUAUAGAAUUGGACAUACCAGAAUAUAUUGUCUGCAGAUGCAGGAAAUUCUAGUAACCAUAUUGAGAAUAUUCUGAUAUAGGUCUGGUGAUGUUAGCUCAAGUUAACAGAAUUUCUAAUGUCUUGUUAACUUCCUUGAAUAGGCAGAGGCAAGGGGAGUGGUUUUUAUGUCUAUAGCUAGGAGGUUGAAUAUAUUUUAAUCCAAAUCAAUGUCCUGUGCAAAAAAAAAAAAAAAAAUUAUUUCCAACAUCUUUGGUUUGGCCUUCCUGUAUAUGGUCAGAGAACUCAAACCUGUGGAAGGAAACUGAUCCUUCAUAUGUCCUCCAGUGCAAAAGGGAGAUUGUUGGUGCCUGAAGAGCCCUGAUACAGUGGUAAAAUGGCUUAUUCAGGAACUGCUUUAUGACAAGGAUCUGAGUACUUUAUGUCCCCAGUGUUUGAUGUCUAACUCUUCAGUUUUCUGCGUCUACCUUGUCCCUCCUGCCGUGCUGAGACCUGUUUGUACCCCAGCCCUUGAAAUGUUCCUGUGCCUUCUGUGUUGCCUGCCUUUUUCAGCUGAGGAUGUAAGCGCUCCAGAACCUGCCAGAUGAGUUGAGGACUUCCAGAACUACCCUAGGGAAGAAACUUUUGGGAACAAGGGGAUUUUCCACCACCAACUAGGAGGCUGUGGGAACGAUGCCACCAUUUUGGAAGCAGCAGUUUCAGUGUCUUCUUGGAAGAAACAGCAGGAGCAAUACAGAUCCAGCUGUAAUGUAAUGGAGACAGAUGAGGGGCUGAGAGUUAAGUGAUGCGAGUUUGAAGCAUCAAGAAAAGUUUCCAUAGUUGCAAAAGAAUUUGAGAAGAGAUGACUGAGAAGGGGCUUCAUCACAGCGUGUAAGUAUCUAAGGGGGGAAGGGUGCCAAGAGGAUGGACCAGGCUCUUCUUGGUGUUGCCAAGCAAUAGGACAAGAGG